Molecule: long non-coding RNA, 534 nt
Organism: Bos taurus (domestic cattle)
Lineage: Eukaryota; Metazoa; Chordata; Mammalia; Artiodactyla; Bovidae
Source: Ensembl
ACAGGCGCCUGUACUCAGCACGGCGGGCCUGUAGCCUCCUGCUGAGGCCCUCCCCACUCCACUGCUCAUCCCCACUCCACCGCUCAGCCUCUGGGUGCCCCGGUUGCCACAGGGGCCCCCUCCCUGGGGGGAAGUGGCGAGACCCAGACCACAGGGAAACCAGCCCCAAUCCAUCCUGUGCUGAGGUUUAGAAUCUAGCUGGCUCUUCCUGACGACACACAGAGACCUGUGGCAUGGCUCUCAGAUUCUGAGGAGCCAGGAGUGGAGUUGUUAUCUCAAGACUUCUCAGAGUCUGUCGAGUCUCCUGCAGCCCAUCAUUGCCGGCCGGCCUGCCUGCCUGCGUCACAGCCGCAGGGCUCUGUCUUUGGAGCAGAAUUCCCCAGGAGAUGUCUGCAGCAAGGCCAUGGGCUGCCCUGGCCAGGGAGAGGGUGGGGGAACAGGAAGCCUCAGCUGUGUGUCUGGUCUGGUACUAAUUAGCUGUGUGACCUUGGGCUAGUCACUUAACCUCUCUGGUCUGUUUACUUUUCUUUAAAU